AAACAACUUUUGCAGCAGGAGGAAAAGUUCAAAGCGCACCUGCAAGCACGUGCGUGACAGAUGUGAUCAAUUAUAAGACAUCAAAGAGAGUACAGAUGCCUGCGAGAGAUGCUGUCAGACCGCAGAAGUGCUUCUUUUAGAGGUGCUAAAAAUGAUGUUCAAUUCAUUAAACCUUAUAUUAAACAUGUUCAAGGCAUUGGUGAUGCACUUCAAGCUUGAAAGCAAACGUCAGCAUUGGCUUUCAAUUAAGAAAACAGAAAAACAGAACCACUUUAAUUAUCAACAUACAUCCAAACAUUCUGCACACGCUUAUUUGUAGGAGAAAGCUAUUAUAACGAGCAGUUAGUAAUGUUAACUUCUUAUUGCAAUCUUUCUGGUAAAAAUUGAUAUUGUCAAUAUCAAUAUCCAGAUUUUAGGUCCAGAUUUGCUGCGCUUGUUUGAAGGGCUGUACAAUUUGGCCAAAAAUGUUAUAAUUACAUCAAUAUGACGGUAAAAUAUGAAUUGUACUGUCAUUUUUGUAUUUUUUUUUACAGUGCAACUAUACAAUAAUUGAAUCAAAUUAACUCUUUUUCAAACCAUAAAGCUUUUCUUUUGUUGGCAAGUCAGCAUUUUAUAAGCGCUUCUCAUUCAAAGUUUGGGAAGAUGGUUGGUGCAUGGUGUGUUUCCAAAUACACGUUAUAAGUGUCCCAAACUUACAAGUUCAUGUGGAUCAGAUGAGCAGAUUUAGAGAUACUGAAAUCAUCGGAUCAUCAGCUGCUCGUGUGUAAAGGAAUGCAGUGCUGCACUUCACGCGGAAACAUACAGUGCCUAUAUAUUAAUUUAUUUAAUUAAAUCAAAGCUAUUGCAAUUUGAUAUUGAUCGCAAUAAGCCAAAUCACAUCGUAGUUUUAUUCUAGUUUUAUUGCAAGGCAACUUGCAACAGAAUGAAUUCAAUCUAUAAACCUAAUGCAACCAUUCACUUUCUUUUCAGGUAAUAAUAAAUGAGUUUAAAGAAGUUUUUUUAAUUCAAAGACAAAAAAAAAUGCUCAAAGUCGUGGGCCACAAGUUUGAGGUUUUAUGAAUCAAGUCAAUAUAAAUCCUCCAGGAGAGCAUGUUUAUGCGCAUCUACGGGGCUACAGCAUCAAAGCUUUGGUAAACAAACGAUUAAAAAUGAUUCAGAAUCAAACAGGUUGAAUAAAUAACCACAGUGAUGCCUUCGUAAGCUCUCAGUCAUAAGCAACACAAAUAAGAUCCACUAUUCCAGUCCUUCAUUCAUCCACCCAAUCACAUCGCUCCUUCCCUCCCUCCAUUCCUCUCAUUGGCUGCAUUCGCAUCCAGUCAUUGGGCGGAUUAAACGCAGUGGUGCAGUUUUCUGUUACCCUAAACUGUACAAAAAUAGACGCCUAGUGCUGCUUUAUCUAAUUUUGAAAACAAACAAAAAAACAAAAUGAAUAAUAAUACAACAGUCUUUCAAUUGAUUCGCUAAUAUAUACAGAAGUUUUUGAUCUCUAACCAGAAGGCUGAGUGCUUUAUCCUUGUGAAUACAACAUAAACAAAUAACUUUAAUAUAUCUUAAGCUCCGAUGCUCAAUCUAGAUCUCUAAAUACAUAUAUAUCUGUGCAUAUAGGUAUACAUAUAUAUGUAAAGCACACAGCCUGCAGAAUUAACUUGAAUUUAUUGACAGGCAAGAUUCGCACGGACACUGCGAAACGUUUGUUGUUCUAGCACAGUGUAGUUAAAUCAAACGUCUUUUCUUGUGGCAGGAGUCGCACGUUAGUCAACUGUUUUGCCUCCACUUAAAAA
Long non-coding RNA from Sinocyclocheilus anshuiensis, 1781 nucleotides. RefSeq lists it as uncharacterized. The record is from RefSeq and is a predicted model, not a curated record. Lineage: Eukaryota; Metazoa; Chordata; Actinopteri; Cypriniformes; Cyprinidae. The transcript is spliced from 4 exons.